CUCUAGGCAAGUAAGUUUCUUCCCCCACACUGGUCACCCCCACAGCCAUUGUUAUGUCAACAAUAUAAUGUAAUAUGGUUGCUUCAGGGGCUGGGGGUAACUGGGCUGUCACUCAAGCAACACACUACUUGCUCUGGUUAGCUCAUUAGUGAGUGACCUUUGGUAGGCAGGGCCUUCUAGAGCGGGAGCCUUAAAGAUUCAUGGAGUUCUAGAGUAAGAAGAAUCCUGGUGAAUUCACAAAAGCACAGGCAGAAAAGCAGAACCUAUCUGAAAGUCAUGCCAUAGGAGGAUUGGUUUUUUUGUUUUUUUGUGGCAAAGACUCGCUUUCAAUGGAAGACACAUUCCUAGGUUACCCAUUUGCUGUAGCCCAGGCUCUUAGCUCUUGUCCUAUGCAACCAGGCUGGAAUGGUCUCAAAUGGGGCUUGAUAUGAUACUGAGAUGAAGGGCCCGGAAGCUGGAUCCCUGACAUUCCCCAGAAGCUGCGUCUAUUCCUUGCUGCUGUUAAUGGGCUGAACUUGUGUGUCCUCUGGGCUCAAAGACCAGUACACUCUCUAGCCUAUCACAAAGCAGAAUGAGUAAGAAAGCAUUCAGGACAGAGGCCACAGUUUAUCCACUAUGGUAUCCAUACAACAGACAGACAGCUUCACUCUUUAGGUACCCAUGUGGAACUAGGGAGAGGAAAUCAGGACAUCACAAAUGACUCCCCUGGGGAAUAUAAACAAUGGGGAUGUGCUUUCUAAUGUCAAGUCUGAUUUAUAGAGAUCCUACCUUUUCCCCCAAAUGAGAUCGCAUAAUCUUAACUUUAAUCACUUAUGGCUUUUGCCAAGGAUACUAGGGAUCCUGCAUUCCACACCCAGCACUGUACAAACUGCCAACAAGACCUUUCCUCUUCCUAAGAUUGUUGUUUAACAGGUAACAAUACAAGCCCAAGGAGCAGACCAUGCCAGGGCCGUGGUGCCUUAUCUUACUUUGUGAAGCCCGGUGACUUUGGGCAGAUACUCCACAGAGUAUGUCUUGUUCUUAUCACUGUCUGGGGUCACACGAGCCUAGAAGAGAAGAUGAUUAUCAGUUAGAGAAAGUGAAAGGUGUAAGAAUGAAGCAGAUUCACUUGAACCUUAAUGGUUUGGUGAUUGUUACAAGUGUAGAAGAUGUCAGACUUGGGGCUGGAGAGAUGGCUCAGUGGUUAAGAACACUGACUGCUCUUCCAGAGGUCCUGAGUUCAAUUCCCAGCAACCACAUGGCGGCUCGCAACCAUCUGUAAUGAGAUCUGAUGCCCUCUUCUGGUGUGUCUGUAGACAACUACAGUGUACUAAUAAAUAAUAAAUAAAUACAUCUUAAAAAAUGAAAAGAAAAAGCUGCCAGACUUGGUCUUAAUGAAGAAAAAUAAAACAAGAAGUGGGCAGAGACCCUGCUCCACAGGAAGCUAGACAAUAUGUUGGUGUAUUUAGAAGUUCAGAUCAUGCCUUGAUCAAGAUCAAAGACCCAGCGAUGGUCAGCAGAGGAAAAUCAGGACGCCCCAAUUAACAAGUCCUGUGUCUCAUGCCAACUCAUUUUCUUUAUCAAACACUGUGUUUGUGUUAAUCACUGACUACUGCGCUCAGGCAUAGCUCUGAGGCGAACUGCUUUAGCCACUGCAAGCCUCGAGGUCCUUGGCUGAGUGAUGUGAGGGUCUGAAGAAGCGGUGACUGAUCGAUCCAGUGACUCCAGACGGAGGUGGCAUCUCCGGCGUACCUCUUCCUUGUUUCCUUCUGGGUCCUCAACAAACACCAUCACAUCCCCUUGUCCAGCGCUGAUGGUAUCUACCGUGAAUUUGGCUGGCUGCUUCACCAUGUUUCCAGUGGACUCGAUUCCUGUCAUGAGUUAGCACAGUAAAUUUUGAAUCGGGCCAUGCCUGUCACCUAACAAACUGAAAGAUGGGACCCAAUCUUAUUAAUCCCGCGUGGGAGAUGAGAACAAACUGUCGCGGUAAGAAUAAUCAGAUCAGUUCAAACUCUUUAAUUUUCUUCAUGUUAUCUAUGCAAUAUCCAAAAUGAAUUAAAAUAUUCAAGAGUUUCAGGUAGUGGUCCACGUAACAGCGGAAACACACAUUGGUGGUAGCUAGCAGCAGGGUCUGACUUUGCAAGGAAAUGUGCAGAAGGAAGUUGCAAAUUUCUUUGAACAACACUGCAUACACUUUAAAAAAAAGUAUUCCCCUAUUAUUUGCAAUUAAUUUUUAGUUUUUAAGAUGGUUAAACAAUAGGGAGACUCAAAGACAAAUACCCCAUAUUCUCAUAUGUGGAAUCUAGACAAAUAAAUAUGAAAAGCAGAUAUAAGACUGUGGGAAAAGGAGUAUUCAGAAAGGGACAAGAGAGUAAUGGGGCAGAGCACGUUUCACUGGGUGGUCUCUUUAAUAUGUAGAACCUAGGUAUCAUCAAAAAAUCAGGUGAGGAGCUGGAGAGACGGCUCAGCUCUUCUGUGUAUGUACUACUGUUGCAAAGGACCUGGGUUCUAGUCCCAGCACCUUCAUGCUGGUGAACAACCAUUUAUAACUCCAGUCCCGAAAGAUUAGAAGACCACCUCUUCUGACUUCCUCAGGCACCAGGAUUUGGGGGAAGACACCAGUGGACACGGGGGAGAAAGGGAAGUACAAAUGGGAGAGGGGGUAGUAUGAACAAAGAAUGAUGAUUUCCAUGUAUGAAGACGACACAUGAGGGAGGGAGGGAGAAGCAUGCUGGGCCAGAAGCUUGACUGGUAGAUUGCUUACACAAAGCUACAGGCCAGAUCCCCAGUACCACCAGGGUACACAGCAAGUCUGACACCAGGCUACGUGAGACCCUAGAAGAAGAGGGGUAGGGUGGGGUGGUGGUGAUAAACCUACUACGCUGUAUACUUGCUGAAGAAAUUAAUUUUUAAAAAGGUAAUUGAGCUAAUUAGAGAGAGCCUCCCCCCCCGCCCCGUACAGGCAGGUGUUAAGAAAUGAUAUUCUCUCAUCAGAAUACCUGAAAAAGAGCUGCUCACCCAUGUUAAUUCUGGCAGCAUUCAAAAUACCUAAGAAACAGAUUCUGCCUAGGAGCCCACUCACAGACAGAAACAAAAACAAUGUGGUAUAUAUAGUCAUAGUGGAAUUAUAUUCAGUUAUAAAGAAAAAUAAAAUCCAACUAUUUGGCGUUAAAAAGAACAGAUGAGGAGAACAUCACGUAGAUCAAAAUAAACCAGAAGCAGAAAGGUUAAGUACUGUGUGUUCUUUCUCAGAUGUGGGAGUUAGAAAGUCAACCUGAAUGUAGAAACUACUUACUUGGGAUUAGGAAGGUGGGGCUGGUUGGACAAAAAGAGCUAGGUUGGGUUUGAACGAUGUAAAAUUCAGACACACAAGUAAUCUUACCCUGAACCUACUAAAACACUCAAUCACUGUUAAAAAUGUAACAAUGGACCGGAGAGAUGGUUCCAUGGUUAAGAGCACUUCCUGUUCUACAGGGCCUGAUUUCAGUGCCCCCAGCACCCACAUGAGAUGGUUCCCAACCUUCUAUAGCUCAGGCUCCAAGGGACCCAAAAUGUCCUCUUCUGGCCUCUGCAGGCACCAGCACUCAUGUGCACACGCCCACAGAAGGACAGGAAUAAAAACACAAGAAAUCAACUAUUACGCUGAGCGUGCAAAGCGCUCACCCAGCUCCCUCCAGGGUAACAAUGGUGGCAAAGGGACGAUACUUAUCAUGACCAGAGUUCUAAAAAUGAUAUGGUGAAGACACAGAGCAUUUCAUAACCACAAGGACCCCUCCUAUUGCCCUUUCAGGAGUCCCACCCGCUUCCCUUCUUCCCCACCCUCUUCUUAUCCCUGACAACCACUAAUCUGUUCUCCGUCUCUGUAAUUUUACCAUUUCAAGAAUGUUUCGUAAGUGGAAUCAUGUAUUAUGCAACCUUAUGGUACUGGUCCUUCUCACUGAGAAUCCCGUCCACUCACUCAGGCUGCUGCUGCUUUUUCGCCGGUGAGAAAUGUCCUAUGCUAUGCGACUGUUUGCCCCCGGCUCUCCAACCGAGGGAUGUCUGGGUUAUAUCUAGCUGUCUUAGCAUUUCCAAAGCUGCUACAUUCAGAUAUAGGUUUUGUGAGAAUUUAUGUCAAGCGUGACGUUUUAAUGUCUGUAUCUUCCUCCUAACAUGAUUUCUCACACGGAGUCCCUAAAAUGCCCUGUGAUGUCCAAGUGGUCCCGAUGUGAGAAUGACCAGUGCGUGACACAUGGUUCCUAAGUUUCCUGGAAUUUCCUGGGUUGAUAAGCUUUUGGUGGGGAAUCUCAGUUAGGACCUGUCACCAGCAGAAAGCCAGGCUGGAGAAUCUAGAAGCUUCUGCGUUCUUCCAGGAGUGUGGCCCAUCCCAACUCUCAGGACCCUUGAACCUUGGGAUAUAGAGUACUUUUCGUCCUGGAAUAGGACACUUGGUUACUUCCUGAGCUCGAGUUACUAGCUAGCCUAAGCAGGUCAUGGCAACCUCUGAUUUGGAGCCCGGUAAGAUGGAAAUUGUAGAUAGCCCCAGACCCACUGCUUGAACCAGUGUCUAGUGCGGAUUAUAGAGACUGAGGCUUUGACCUGCAGAUACUCAGCAAGUGCCAGGCAGACAGCUGUGGGAUGAACCGAUCGAGUGUGAGCCGUUCAGGGGCCAUUCACAGAGACCGGGAAAGGCCAUCUCAGUGGGAAAACCUUCUGAACUUGGUGGGCAGAAGGGGACCAGCAGCUGUGGCUGAGAUAGACCGGUGCCAGCCAAUGAGAGCGACUGCUGGUACGCACAAGAUUUACACGUUUACUGGUAGGUUUUACCAUUGCUGUUGUGUGAAAUUGGGAACAUGGGUUCUUUAAUGUAAAUUAGAAUGACACAGAACGUCUGGACCACUUUACAUCAGCAACGUGGGGGUCCAGGAAAGGUUUCUCCAUAUACAAAUAUAGGCACACACAAACAGAUAUAUAUCUAAGACUUGAAAGUUUGGGGGUUUUGUUUGUUUGAUUUUGUGUUUCCUUUUUAAUUUCGAUGAAGUUGUGAUUUUUUUUUCUUCUUGUGCUUUUGGUGUCAAACCUCAGAAUUCUUUCUUUCCCUAAACCCUAGAUUUCAAAUUCUUAUGGUUUUCCCCUUGAAGUGUUUUAGUUGCAUGUCGUAAGUGAUUCAGCCUGAGCUGAUUUGUGUUAGGUAUGAUUCUAUUUUUUUUUUAAAGUUGUUAUUUUCUGUGUAUGGGUGUUUUUUUCUGGUAUUUCUGUGUACCACAUGUGUGUCUGGUUACCCAUGGAGGCCAGAAGAAAGCACUGGAUCCCUUUAGACACUUUAGUCACUGUGUAGGCACUGGGAAUUGAACCCCGAUCCCCUAGUAGCACAACCGAUAUUCUUAACCACUAACCAUCUCUGGCCUCUUGGGUAUAAUUUUUUGUUGGUUUUUUUUUACAUGUGGCUCUGGCGGUCCUGGAACUCAGGGAUCCACCUGUCUCUUGUCCUAGAAUCUCCCACCAAUGUCAGUAUGGAUCUGAAGCAGUACUUCAAGUACAGUAGACUGACCCCCUCCAUUCUUUCAAAACCCAAGUACUAGAGUUCCUUUGCCUUUCUUCUUUUGAUAUAUUUUGUUGACACCUACAAAAAAAAAUUUUGUGCUAGGAAUUGACCUCAUGUGUGCUAGGGACAUAAACUGAGGCUAAGUUCAUUGCCAAAACUUCAAUUGCAAUUACGUCAGUGUGGCAAUUCAGGGGGACCAAUGCCUUUGUUCCAGUCUCUCUUCUUACUCAGGCCUUUUGUUUAGCCUUUAGAUUAUAAAUCCCGUGUGUGUUUUAUUACACCCACACCUACUCCCUUUUCCUUCUGUGUGACAGUAAAUGGUGUGCCAUUUUAAAUUCCAGGAUCCACAUGUGUAUUUUACCAUGUAAAGCUAGAAUAGAUUCUGGCAUGCCACUUUUGUGCCUAAGAAAGCUUUAUUUGUCUUUGGGACCUUUUUUAUUUUAUUUUAUAUUUUCUAGCCUGGCUGGCCCUGAAAUCACAGGAACCUGCCUUCCUUUCCUUUCCCCGAGGCAUUUCUCACUUUUAAUUGUUUGAGAAAGGUCAGUACGAACCAGCACGACGUCCGUACUCGGACAGUUUUCUUCCUGACUUUGCUGCUGUACCCCCACUUCCUAGCAGAUAUCACCAUUCAAGCCUCCCUUAAAUAUGUUGCAAAGAAAUGCAGAGAGCAGGCGCCACCCUGGUCCAGAUCUCGGUUAUCUGUGAGAGGCUGGGUGUGUUCUAAGAUGCUGGGCAGAAAUUCUGUGGCAGUUACUCUACACUGACUUGAGGAAGUCUCUCCUUCCCCUUUUUGGAGUUUUAUCGUGGAUGACAGUUGAAUUUUGUCACUUGCUUUUUUUAUCGUCAGUAUUACCAACCAGGCUUCUUUUUUUGUUUUUGUUUUUUCUUUUUCACUAACCUGUUACUACAAUCUGGUUGAUUGUAUUGACAAGUUUCCUAAUAGUGGACCAGCCUUACACUGGUUAAAAGAAACCCCACUUAGUCACAAUGCACAAUUCAUUUUAUAUUUAUAUAUAUGAUAUAUAUAUAUGGUGUAUAUGUAUAGUAUAUAUGAGAUAUCUAGUACACGUUACUAUUUCAUGAUGUGUUUUUAUAUCUACAGUCCACUGGUCUCUGUGUUUUGUUUUGCUAUUGGCUUUGGUGUUUCAUGAAGUGAGGGUGCUACUUCUGUAGGUCAGUUUUGUCAACUUGACACAAGCUGGAGUCACUGGGAAGGGGGAACCUCAAUUGAGGAAUUGCCUACCUAGACCUGGCCUCCAAGCAUGUUUGUGGAUUAUGUUGGGUAAUGACUUAAGUGGGAGGACCGAGCCUGCUGUGAGUGGUGCCAGCCCUGGGCAAGUAAUGGUGGGUUGUAGAGGAAAGCAGGCUGGACAAGAGCAAGCCAGUAAGCAGCACGUCGCCCCUCCAUGGCCUCUGCUUCAGCUCCUGCUGGGGGUGGUCGUGGGGCACUCUAGCUUGAGGUCCUACUCAGGCUUCCCUCAAAAUGGCCUGCAAAGUAUUGACUGGAAUAAACCCUCCCCCCACCCCCACAACAAGCUGCUUCUGGGUAUUUACCACAGCAGCAGGAAACAAAACAGAACAGCAAGGGCUCUCAUCCUUCAUUUAAGACAAUAAAAAUCUGUUUCAAUUCUUCGCUGAGUGUUUGGGAGAAUUCCCUGGUGAAAUUACCCAUCCCCGGAGGUUUACAGGGGCCCCUUCAAUUUUACAAAUUAAAUGUCCCAAAUGUUUAUAGGCUCAUCCAGGUUAGUCCGCUGUAGUUAACACAUCACUCUGCCACACAAUUUUCUUCCUGUUAUUUCAAGAUUUCUUCCUUCCUAUGUUUCCUUUAAAAGGCUAUCCUUUCAGGAUGGGCUUCUAGUGACAAAUUCUCUUUCUUUUCCUCUGUCUGAAAGUAUAGGGACUUCCCCUGGGUAAAAUGAUUCUAAUUGACAAUUUUUUCUUAACCCUCUCGGAAUGCAGUGCUCCUUCCUUCUGACUUCCAUGGUUUUAAUGAGAAAGCCGACAUUCUGGUAUUUCCUUUGGGCAAGCUUUCAGCUAUCUCCCAACAUGAUGCUUAAAUGUCUGCCCAUGGUCCUCCUAGUCAGAUGCAGAAGCAGAUGCCUGCAAUCCCAGCAUCUGGGGGUGAUGGCAAAGGGAUCCAGGCUGCUCGAGAGAGACGUAACACAACUUACCUCUCAUUGCCUUAUAUAUUCAGAUUUACCUUCUCCUCAAAGAGCGCUAUUACACACACUCUCUCCUCUCUCAGACGGGGUGCUUUUGCCCUGCUAGCUUACAGUCUCCAUGGCAAGACAGUUCUUUCAAUAGUUUUAGCCCUGCUGUCUUCUCACCUCCUCCCAUGUCUCCUCUAAUGUGGUCGUUCCCACUUUUGUUUUAGUUCCCACAGGUCCCGAGGGACUCUGUCCAUUUUUCUCUUUUCCUGUCUUUCAUUUAGACUCCUAGGUCAGUUCUCCUGUUUCAUGUGCUGUGAACUGAUUCUUCUGUCUUCCCACUCUGCUACUGAAUGCAUCGUAGCAGUCAUUCCAGGUUUCGUUCCUUUUCCUUUUUCAACUUUCUUUAUUUCCCCCAGUUCUAAGAUCUUCAACUGGCUCUAUAUGUCUUGGCUUCUGUCUGGGAAUUCUAUUUCUCUGCUGUGACUGGUUCUUUGUUUGUUCUCAUUUAUUUCAAGAGUAUCAUAAUUGUUGUUGAAGCCUUUUUUAGAUAUGGGCACAGUAUUAGUUAUUUCUGUCAUGGCCGUGACCGAAUGCCUGACAAGAAAGCAUUUACAGUUCAGGAGUCUGUCGGUGGCAGGAGCUGGCUGGUUAUCGGGCCACAUUAUAUCCACAGUUAAGAAACCCAGUGGAAACUGCCACUCAGCCCACUUCCUUUUUAUUCUCUCUUUAUCUCUUCAUCUGAGAUCCCAGGCCAUGGAAUAGAUUGGAAUAGGUUUUCACACCCCUAUUAACCCAAUUUAGAAAAUCUCACACAGACUGUGUCACAAGGUGGUCUGCUAGGUGAUUCCAGACCCUGUCAAAUAUCAACCAUCAUAGACACUCUAAAAUGGCUGGCAGGUAAUCCUUACAUCUCUGUCAACCCACUACUGGAACCGACCAUCGUUUCCGUUUGGUAUGAGAUAUCGGGUUCACGGUGUGACAGUGACUUUUAAAGUUGGAACUUGGACAGUUUGGGUUUUGUGUUAUGGGACUCUGGACCUUAGGUCAACUUCCUGCCAGCGGGGGAGGAAGUCCAGGAUUUCCAUUCCACUCCCACUAGUACCUGAGGUUUGAAUUAGAGGGGCUUCCAUUUGUAACAGCUAUUGUGGGAGUAUCAGCUCUACCUCUAGCAGUCAGAAGAGGAGCACCUCAUUACUCCUUACCCAGCCUCUGCUGACAUCACCACUACCUUAAAACUAGACUAGACAAAGUCUUGGCCCUGCACUUACUUUUGCUGAUUGAUAUAUGAGGAGGGCACAGUUUUUUCCUAUGACGUUUGGCUGAACAUAGAGCACGUACUGUUCUGCCUCAGGGUGGCAGGGAUAUGGCUCAACGAUAGAACAUCUGUCUUAGCUUUCAUAAGGAUAUUUCGGCAUGACCCCGCCCCUGCUGCCACACACACACACACACACACACACACACACACACACACACACACACACACAAUGUAAAAUUAAUGUCUCACUCGGACUUGAAGGAAAGAAGGGGGUCUAGCAAUUAGAAAAUGGACUUCUAUAUUUUAUCUUCUAUGCUUUUUAUUUUGCUUAUAUAAUGAUCGCGUUACUAACAACACUUCAAUACACUCGCCUACAACGUUUCUAAGCACCUACUCCAUCUGACUCUAGCGAUCUGAAAAGAAAAACUCACCUGCACGUUGUCAGUGGCUCAGGUAAGUCAGUGUCAGGCUCUCUAGCUAACCAGGGUUGUUCAGGAAGCUGAGUCGAAGGCCCACAGUCUACAAAACUCCAGUAGAGCCAUGCUCACCAUGAGGAACUGAUUACUGAGACUUAGGGUCCUGUAAGGCUCUGUUAAGUGCUUCAUACAGAAUAGGGUUUGGAGAAGGGUCUGCUUAGCUAGUGGACAGAUGUGUUCAAUGAUGCUAAUCCCACAAGGGAGCCUUGCACAAAGACCCCAAACCUUCUCAUCCCACUCACACAGGCAACUUAGAGCUCGAUGGAUGGAUGUGCAAGUGCUGACUGGCCUCAACCGGAAUCUACCUACAUACAAAGAAUAAAACUCCCUUUUAGAAACCAUAAUUAUUAUUAAUUUUUUCUCUAAUCCUAAUCUGAGUAGCAGAAACAUACCAAAACCGGACUGACUUUAUGUGUCUCCCAGCCCCACUUAUGUGGCCUUGUAUUGUGUGGCCCCAUCACCCAAAGGGACUAUAUUGCCUUCUGUUGUGGUUUGCCCUGAAGUUAUCUGUAUUUUGAUGCUAAUUCCACUGCCCGAAGGAUAGCUGCCUAGUCACAGUACUCAGGAAUCAGGUGACUUCACCAGAACCUUUUCCCCAUUGAAUUUGUAAAGUACAGGUGAGGGGCAGGUACAGGAUAGAAGGAGGCCUUCUCAUUGGAGGAGAAGGAAGGAUGGGCAGGAGAGAAGUUUGAAGGAAGAGGAGGAGACUAGAGGAGAGAAGGAGAGACAGAGAGAGGGGGGAGAAGCCAUGGCAGGUGAUGUUAAGAUUCUGCUCUGUGUAUUUACAGGUUGUUAUCAAUGUUCUUAAGGGAUGGGUGGUACUGGGCUUUGUAUGUUUAAGUGGGCAAUUAUAUCUUACCAAUUGGGUCAAAGAUUAUUGUGUUGUGUGGUUUUUUUUUUUUGGUUCUUUUUUUCGGAGCUGGGGACCGAACCCAGGGCCUUGCGCUUCCUAGGUAAGCGCUCUACCACUGAGCUAAAUCCCCAGCCCCGUGUUGUGUGUUCUUUUAUGCGAGUGUUUGAGUGUAGGAAAGUGUGCGGCUGGGAUGUGUUUCCGCCCAGAUAUCUAGCGGCACCGCGGUGCGGACCCAGUGGGGUAAAAGACCAACUUUACUUUUUAUUUUUAUGUUUUUACAACAACAGCCUUCCUAUUUUGAAAGGAGAGACGUUAAGCAUAGAAUCGCAGUAUGGCCCAGCAAUUUCA
Rattus norvegicus (Norway rat) is the source of this 10585-nucleotide non-coding RNA. The record is from RefSeq and is a predicted model, not a curated record. NCBI's taxonomy places the organism in Eukaryota, Metazoa, Chordata, Mammalia, Rodentia, Muridae.